Molecule: non-coding RNA, 116 nt
Organism: Podospora fimiseda
Lineage: Eukaryota; Fungi; Ascomycota; Sordariomycetes; Sordariales; Podosporaceae
Source: the annotation of a GenBank genome assembly
GUCCACGUAGCGUAGUGGUCAACGUUUGUGAUGCUUUUCUUCAGCGUUUAGUAUAUUUAUUUAGUGAUUUUGAUUUGAGGCAGCGAAAGACGUCGGUUAGAAUCCGACCGGGGACA